RNAcentral lists this transfer RNA (27 nucleotides) under Sceloporus occidentalis. RNAcentral's name for it is "partial tRNA-Met". The record is from RNAcentral. RNAcentral also lists the same sequence under 1 other name. Lineage: Eukaryota; Metazoa; Chordata; Lepidosauria; Squamata; Phrynosomatidae.
AGUAAAGUCAGCUAAUAAAGCUAUUGG